Molecule: ribosomal RNA, 497 nt
Filed under: uncultured bacterium
Lineage: Bacteria
Description: partial 16S ribosomal RNA
Rfam family: Bacterial small subunit ribosomal RNA
Source: RNAcentral
GACGAACGCUGGCGGCGUGCCUAAUACAUGCGAGUUGAGCGAUGAAGAUUGGUGCUUGCACCAAUUUGAAGAGCAGCGAACGGGUGAGUAACGCGUGGGGAAUCUGCCUUUGAGCGGGGGACAACAUUUGGAAACGAAUGCUAAUACCGCAUAACAACUUUAAACAUAAGUUUUAAGUUUGAAAGAUGCAAUUGCAUCACUCAAAGAUGAUCCCGCGUUGUAUUAGCUAGUUGGUGAGGUAAAGGCUCACCAAGGCGAUGAUACAUAGCCGACCUGAGAGGGUGAUCGGCCACAUUGGGACUGAGACACGGCCCAAACGCCUACGGGAGGCAGCAGUAGGGAAUCUUCGGCAAUGGACGAAAGUCUGACCGAGCAACGCCGCGUGAGUGAAGAAGGUUUUCGGAUCGUAAAACUCUGUUGGUAGAGAAGAACGUUGGUGAGAGUGGAAAGCUCAUCAAGUGACGGUAACUACCCAGAAAGGGACGGCUAACUACGUG